RNAcentral lists this long non-coding RNA (254 nucleotides) under Olea europaea (common olive). RNAcentral's name for it is "long non-coding RNA (OEUR_LNC013966)". The record is from RNAcentral. Lineage: Eukaryota; Viridiplantae; Streptophyta; Magnoliopsida; Lamiales; Oleaceae.
UUUUUUUUUUUAAAUGAAAGCAAGCAACGGAAUCAACAUUUGUCUCGUAUUGAAACAUGGUCCAAUCAAAUGUCAUCUUGGUUUGGUUGAAUAUUCAAUUGAGCAUUGAUAUUCAUAAGUGGUGCUUACCAAUCAGCACUAAUAAUUGAUUCAUGCAAAUUAAUUGAAAUCAUUUAAACAUCACAUUAUUGCUUAUCAAUAAGUGAUUAUAAAUAGCAUUAUAUCGAGUUAAUUGUUCUAUUGGUCACUAAAUU